GAAAGAAGUCGAAUUUGGGAAGGUGUGGAUCCUCGAUCCGAGUUUUGAAAUGGAGUUUCGAUUUGGUGAGCAGAAGAAAGCGGAACAGAAGAGGAGACCUUUAUCCUGUGUCGAAGGUUGGGUGUGAUUUUCACACUUUCUCAUUAUUUUAGGAUGGACAAGGUCAGAAUUAAAAAAGCUAUUUACGUAGGCGCUCGCGGCUUUCCGCUUUCAAUUGGAAGGGCAUCUUUCUGUUGCCGGAAAGGUCAACCUCAAAAAAAUGUAAAUAGGGUCAGCUGCUAGCUCUAACCGAACUUUCGGUAUAUAAGUCCGACGAAAGACAACCCGCUUCUCGAAGGCGAGGAAGAACCGACUUCAAGCAAGCGGUGCACUUUUUUCUAAAUAGGGUGGUAUGGGUGGGGAAGGAAGGAAAGAAGGGCAAGUCAGCUAGAAAUUGCG
RNAcentral lists this long non-coding RNA (438 nucleotides) under Nicotiana benthamiana. RNAcentral's name for it is "long non-coding RNA (NBEN_LNC017400)". The record is from RNAcentral. Lineage: Eukaryota; Viridiplantae; Streptophyta; Magnoliopsida; Solanales; Solanaceae.